RNAcentral lists this transfer RNA (526 nucleotides) under Neolyngbya arenicola ALCB 114386. RNAcentral describes it as "partial 16S-23S ribosomal RNA intergenic spacer". The stretch from base 239 to 311 matches the Rfam family "tRNA". Lineage: Bacteria; Bacillati; Cyanobacteriota; Cyanophyceae; Oscillatoriales; Sirenicapillariaceae. The record is from RNAcentral.
CCUUUACAGGGAGACCUAACUUCAGUAAUGAAGAUAGACUAAAUCAGUCUAAAAAUACUUCUCAACAACAAGCUGAAGUCAUCCCAGGUCGAGCGAAGCAAUAGAGACAAAGGCUUUCAAACUACGAUUGGGUUCGAUUAUGGGCUAUUAGCUCAGGUGGUUAGAGCGCACCCCUGAUAAGGGUGAGGUCCCUGGUUCAAGUCCAGGAUAGCCCACCUAGUCAUCAUGAAAUAGUCUUGGGGGUAUAGCUCAGUUGGUAGAGCGCUGCCUUUGCACGGCAGAAGUCAGCGGUUCGAGUCCGCUUACCUCCACUCCUAUUUAGGGGAAAAGGCUCAAAUACAAGGAAAGAAUUCAGCAAGAGAUGAAAAGUCGAACUGCUGGAUGUCAAUCCAGUCAGAACCUUUGAAAAACUGCAUAGAGGUCAAAAGUCAGGUUAGUCUGUAUGAACAGACAAAGGUCAAGCUAGAAAGGGCUAACGGUGAAAUACCUAGGCACACAGAGGCGAAGAAUCACUAGUGAAAUUCGC